Molecule: ribosomal RNA, 500 nt
Filed under: uncultured bacterium
Lineage: Bacteria
Description: partial 16S ribosomal RNA
Rfam family: Bacterial small subunit ribosomal RNA
Source: RNAcentral
AUUGAACGCUGGCGGAAUGCUUUACACAUGCAAGUCGAACGGCAGCACGGACUUCGGUCUGGUGGCGAGUGGCGAACGGGUGAGUAAUGUAUCGGAACGUGCCCAGUCGUGGGGGAUAACGUAGUGAAAAUUACGCUAAUACCGCAUACGAUCUAUGGAUGAAAGCGGGGGAUCGCAAGACCUCGCGCGCUUGGAGCGGCCGAUAUCCGCUUAGGUAGUUGGUGGGGUAAAGGCCCACCUAGCCAACGAUCUGUAGCUGGUCUGAGAGGACGAACAGCCACACUGGAACUGAGACACGGUCCAGACUCAUACGGGAGGCAGCAGUGGGGAAUUUUGGACAAUGGGCGAAAGCCUGAUCCAGCCAUUCCGCGUGCAGGAUGAAGGCCCUCGGGUUGUAAACUGCUUUUGUACAGAACGAAAAGGUUUCUACUAAUACUAGGAGCUCACGACGGUACUGUAAGAAUAAGCACCGGCUAACUACGUGCCAGCAGCCGCCGUAA